AGAGUUUGAUCAUGGCUCAGGAUGAACGCUAGCGGCAGGCCUAAUACAUGCAAGUCGAACGCUCAGUAGCAAUACUGGGAGUGGCGCACGGGUGCGUAACGCGUACACAAUCUACCUCUAAGCGGGGGACACCUCCUGGAAACGGGGAUUAAUACCGCAUAAUAUGCCGAAGUCGCAUGACUUUGGUAUUAAAGCAGCAAUGCACCUAGAGAUGAGUGUGCGUCCCAUUAGGUAGUUGGUGAGGUAACGGCUCACCAAGCCUAUGAUGGGUAGCCGGUCUGAGAGGAUGGUCGGCCACACGGGCACUGAGACACGGGCCCGACUCCUACGGGAGGCAGCAGUAAGGAAUAUUGGUCAAUGGUGGAAACACUGAACCAGCCAUGCCGCGUGGAGGAAUAAGGUCCUACGGAUUGUAAACUCCUUUUGACGAGGAAGAAAAUGUUAGAUUUAUCUAAUUUUGACGGUACUCGUAGAAUAAGCACCGGCUAACUCCGUG
This 496-nucleotide ribosomal RNA is filed under the name uncultured bacterium. RNAcentral's name for it is "bacterial SSU rRNA". It matches the Rfam family "Bacterial small subunit ribosomal RNA", at positions 8 to 507 of the family's 1533-position model. The record is from RNAcentral.